Molecule: transfer RNA, 54 nt
Filed under: Neotoma lepida (desert woodrat)
Lineage: Eukaryota; Metazoa; Chordata; Mammalia; Rodentia; Cricetidae
Rfam family: tRNA
About the family: Transfer RNA (tRNA) molecules are approximately 80 nucleotides in length. Their secondary structure includes four short double-helical elements and three loops (D, anti-codon, and T loops).
Source: Rfam by way of RNAcentral
UCCCAUUGAUAGGGNGCUUGCCUUAUAUGCAAGAAACCUGGGUUCCAUCCCCAG